UAACCAUGAGGGAAAUCGUGCACAUC
This 26-nucleotide non-coding RNA is filed under the name Homo sapiens (human). The record is from RNAcentral. Lineage: Eukaryota; Metazoa; Chordata; Mammalia; Primates; Hominidae.